This 274-nucleotide ribosomal RNA is filed under the name uncultured bacterium. Its description in RNAcentral is "partial 16S ribosomal RNA". It matches the Rfam family "Bacterial small subunit ribosomal RNA", at positions 523 to 796 of the family's 1533-position model. The record is from RNAcentral.
AUACGAAAGGUGCAAGCGUUGUUCGGAUUUACUGGGCGUAAAGAGAGUGUAGGUUGUUUAUUAAGUCGGAUGUGAAAUCCCGGGGCUCAACCCCGGAACUGCAUUCGAUACUGAUAGGCUAGAGUUCGGGAGGGGUAAGCGGAAUUCCGUGUGUAGCAGUGAAAUGCGUAGAUAUACGGAGGAACACCUGAGGCGAAGGCGGCUUACUGGACCGAUACUGACACUGAGACUCGAAAGCGUGGGUAGCAAACAGGAUUAGAUACCCUAGUAGUCC